AGAAUCAACGCUGGCGGCGUGCCUAACACAUGCAAGUCGAACGAGAAAGUGGAGCAAUCCAUGAGUAAAGUGGCGCACGGGUGAGUAACACGUGACUAACCUACCUUUUAGUGGGGGAUAACCUAGGGAAACCUGGGCUAAUACCGCAUAACACUUACGAGUCAAAGCAGCAAUGCGCUGAAAGAGGGGGUCGCGGUCGAUUAGUUAGUUGGCGGGGUAAUGGCCCACCAAGACUGUGAUCGGUA
RNAcentral lists this ribosomal RNA (245 nucleotides) under uncultured bacterium. Its description in RNAcentral is "partial small subunit ribosomal RNA". It matches the Rfam family "Bacterial small subunit ribosomal RNA", at positions 26 to 285 of the family's 1533-position model. The record is from RNAcentral.